UAACACUGAUAGCUCUCUAGAAUUCCAUAGCUCCUACAAUUUCGUAACAAGGAUAGAUUGCAAAAUGCCCAUUCUCUGAGUUCACGGAUAGCUAGCUCUCUAGAACUCCAUAGCUCCUACAAAAACAGCGAGUUCUGGCUAUUCCAAGUCGAUCCAGUCUUCAACGAUAUCCAAUCCUGAAUCCGACAUUCCUCAGUUCUGCUCAGAUGAUCGGAACUCAGUUCUUCAUUGUUCGAUCGCCGCAAAAGCUAAGUUCCCUCUACCUUCCUUCCGUUCCUGAUUUCAGUACAGUCAGUAACACCGGUUUCUCGGUCUCUUCCUGAAUUUUCAGAGGCUCCUUCGUCGAUUUCAUUCACCAUUACCCUCUGGAUGCUGUUUGCCACUGCCGAUCGUCGCCGUUGACUGUCGCACUCACAUCUCCGAAUGCUUUAAGGUGGGCCAUGACAGGAUCGGAAAACAGAGAAUCGUUUUUUUCUUUUUUUUGAAGCCGCGGGGAGUAUGGAGCAAACGAUCUCACUGGUUUAUUUCAUUUUGCAAACUUUAUUCAUCGAAUUCAGGCGACUAGUAGCUAUUGCCACCAUUGCCGUUCGCUGGCUUGAACUUUACGCAGUGGCCUCUCUGUUUUGCUUUAUUUCCCGUCCGGGAAGACCGAAGUUCUCGGAUCUC
RNAcentral lists this long non-coding RNA (666 nucleotides) under Eucalyptus grandis. RNAcentral's name for it is "long non-coding RNA (EGRA_LNC000533)". Lineage: Eukaryota; Viridiplantae; Streptophyta; Magnoliopsida; Myrtales; Myrtaceae. The record is from RNAcentral.